Molecule: long non-coding RNA, 1576 nt
Organism: Nicotiana tabacum (common tobacco)
Lineage: Eukaryota; Viridiplantae; Streptophyta; Magnoliopsida; Solanales; Solanaceae
Source: RefSeq, a predicted model, not a curated record
UUUUGAAAAGUCCAAGGCAAGAUCAGGUCCCCGUGCGAUCCAAAGGGGUCCCGAGUCGACUGAAAAUAAAGUUAUCUUCUUCUUCAAAAUCCAAGACGAAAUCAAAUGAUCUUUUGCAAGCAGCCCAGACCCUUUCCAAGUUCAAUGUCGUGAAGGAUGUGGAUGCACCCACGAAAAAUAAAGUUAGGCAUCUUUCAUUAGCCUCGAAGGCGGCUACUACUGCCCCCAAGGUAACCAGCAACACUUGCAAAAGGAAGGAGCAUCUAGUUUCGCCGAACAAGGGCAGUAAUAGAGCGCCCAGCCUCGUGCCACUUUGUGAUGAGAAGACUCAUCCUUCCAUUUCGCCAAAUAGUAUUGGAGAUUUUACUAUAGCUUCCAAUCCAGUAGAGCGUGAAUCUAGCGAAGACCGCCAUUGGAACAGUCCGAACAAGAAGGCGAAGGAGUUGGGUGAUGAAUAAUACGGUACUGAUGUCUUAGAUACCAUUCUUAUUGGGGAUGAUUCCUUUGUGGAUGAGGAUACCGGCUUAACAAUGCCAUUUCCUGAAUUACCAGAACAAUCAAAUCUUCAGUAAUUAUGCGGUGAUGAUCUUGUAGAUGACAUUAUUGAGGGUUGAUUUGCAGGCGUAGAUGAUCUUGGUAUGACCGCAAGAGCUCCCAUAACCCUCUUAACGGUUCUAAGGAUCAUGUUAUGGGUGUAGCCUAUUCGGUGGAGUUAACUCCACCAAGGAAGCCAUAUUCCUCUUCUCCAGGUAAUAGAAAGCUCAUCCAACCAGUUGUGACGAAUGAAGUUAUGGAUGCUGCAAUUAAAGUCAUGCGCCCGAAGUCGUUCAGGCCUUCCUCAUGGUUGUUGCAGCCUGGUGCUUCAAGCAAAGAGUCGCAUGGGACUAUUUGUCGUAUCAAACAAACUUUUAUUAUUGUGAUGUGGUGUAGAUUGUGAGAGUGGAUUAAAGAGUUAUUUGUAUAUUCCUCGAAAAACUUUAUGAACUUGAAGGAAAGCAUCAGUUUGACUCUUACGGAAAUACGGAGAGAGAAUAUCAUUGGUACUUCUAUUUUGGAGGAUCUUGUUGAAGCUUUCUUUAAGACGUAUGCAGAGUAUGAUGCUUUAAGAUCAUCCAAGAUGACUAAAUAAUCCCACAAAGUGUCACUCUCUGAUGCACAAAAAUGCUUCAAUGAUGCGAAGCGGGAAUAUGGGAAGGCAAAUGAGUCCGCUGAGAAACUUCAUGUGGCUCUUGUGAAUAUCAAACACAGUUAGUAUCCUUGACCUCUAAAAAUAAGAAGAACAUCGCACUCCUAGAUAAACAACAAGAGAAGUUGUCCAAAAGUAAAAGGAAAAUCACAGUUACCGAAGGCGAGGUUCAUACCAUUGAGGCGAAUGUCCCGUUGUCUGAUGAUGAAGCAGAAAAAUUGUCCCUCCUGAAAGAUGUAGUUAAGACGAGUCUCCAGCAAAUCCUUAGCUCCAAAACUUUUCAAUAGUUAUAGAUUCUCCUUUUUCACUUAGGAUUCCUGUUUAUUUUAAGACGAAUAUCAUGUAUUGAUAUUUCUUUUCUUAGAGCAAUAAAAGUAUUUACUUUUUAUU